CAGCCCUUGACAUGGGACUCGCCGGGAGCAGAGACGCUCCCUUCGGUUCGGCCGGAGUCCGCACAGGUGCUGCAUGGCUGUCGUCAGCUCGUGUCGUGAGAUGUUGGGUUAAGUCCCGCAACGAGCGCAACCCUCGUCUCCAGUUGCCAUCAGGUUAAGCUGGGCACUUUGGAGAAACUGCCGGUGACAAGCCGGAGGAAGGUGGGGAUGACGUCAAGUCCUCAUGGCCCUUACGGGCUGGGCUACACACGUGCUACAAUGGCGGUGACUAUGGGAUGCGAAGGCGCGAGCCGGAGCCGAUCCUAAAAAACCGUCUCAGUUCGGAUUGCACUCUGCAACUCGAGUGCAUGAAGUUGGAAUCGCUAGUAAUCGAGGAUCAGCAUGCCUCGGUGAAUACGUUCCC
Molecule: ribosomal RNA, 403 nt
Filed under: uncultured bacterium
Lineage: Bacteria
Description: bacterial SSU rRNA
Rfam family: Bacterial small subunit ribosomal RNA
Source: RNAcentral